Molecule: ribosomal RNA, 228 nt
Filed under: uncultured bacterium
Lineage: Bacteria
Description: partial 16S ribosomal RNA
Rfam family: Bacterial small subunit ribosomal RNA
Source: RNAcentral
UGAGUAACGCGCAUGCAACCUACCUACUACAGGGGAAUAGCCCGAAGAAAUUCGGAUUAAUGCCGCAUAAUACAGGGGCACCGCAUGGUGAUAUUUGUUAAAGAUUAAUUGGUAGUAGAUGGGCAUGCGUUCCAUUAGCCAGUUGGUGAGGUAACGGCUCACCAAAGCAACGAUGGAUAGGGGAACUGAGAGGUUUAUCCCCCACACUGGUACUGAGACACGGACCAG